UGGGGAAUAUUGCACAAUGGGCGCAAGCCUGAUGCAGCAACGCCGCGUGGAGGAAGACGGUUUUCGGAUUGUAAACUCCUGUUCUUAGUGAAGAAAAAUGACGGUAGCUAAGGAGCAAGCCACGGCUAACUACGUGCCAGCAGCCGCGGUAAUACGUAGGUGGCGAGCGUUGUCCGGAAUUAUUGGGCGUAAAGGGAGCGCAGGUGGGAAAGUAAGUCAGUCUUAAAAGUUCGGGGCUCAACCCCGUGAUGGGAUUGAAACUACUUUUCUUGAGUGCAGGAGAGGAAAGCGGAAUUCCUAGUGUAGCGGUGAAAUGCGUAGAUAUUAGGAGGAACACCAGUGGCGAAGGCGGCUUUCUGGACUGUAACUGACACUGAGGCUCGAAAGUGUGGGGAGCGAACAGGAUUAGAUACCCU
RNAcentral lists this ribosomal RNA (416 nucleotides) under uncultured Anaerovibrio sp. RNAcentral's name for it is "bacterial SSU rRNA". It matches the Rfam family "Bacterial small subunit ribosomal RNA", at positions 355 to 788 of the family's 1533-position model. Lineage: Bacteria; Bacillati; Bacillota; Negativicutes; Selenomonadales; Selenomonadaceae. The record is from RNAcentral.